GGGGAUAUGGCGAAAUCGGUAGACGCUACGGACUUAUAAAUAAAACAUAUGAAGUCUUUGGAAUGACAAUUAGUAUCUUUAUUAC
This 85-nucleotide transfer RNA is filed under the name Trichosanthes lepiniana. RNAcentral's name for it is "tRNA-Leu". Lineage: Eukaryota; Viridiplantae; Streptophyta; Magnoliopsida; Cucurbitales; Cucurbitaceae. The record is from RNAcentral.